ACAGAGGCAGGAAGAAGAGAAUCCAGAGGAGACGGACGGUCAGCUGAAGAUCAUGGACGUGUUUGAACCAAACCUCAUCCUCCGAGACUGAAACCUGCAGUUCCUCUAAUGUCCACUAGAGGCUGACUCCAACAACUGUAGACACUUCCUGUGGAUCCAUCACAGGUCUUCACCACGUGCUGCAGGACGCCGGCUGUGAUGUCAUGUCUUAUUGUGUGUGAUGGGCGGAGCCUCAAGCUCAUUUAAAUCUGAGCGCAGGGAGGUAAAGAGUGAUGGACAGCUGGUUGAAGAGGACGUGCAGUAACACAGCUGGGGUCUAAAGACAGGAACUGUGAAUACAAAGUGUCUUCAGCUCCUCCACAGCUCCACCCCUCUCAUCCAAAUAUGUGCACCUCUGGCUCCAAAAACAAGAUGGUGACGGCAGAAAUGCCGAAGUCGAGGCUUCAGAACACGAGUCAACAAACCAGUGGAUGAUGUCACAGUGGCUCUGUCUGUUAUUUAUACAGUUUCUGUACAACAUUAACAGUUAGAGCUGUGACUGUGAUGCAGAGACUCAAAGUGUUUCACACAAUGAAGAAUGAAUACAAGUCCACAGCUGAGAAUAGACACUUGAACACAGAGGUGGACUCAAUGAUGUAAUCAGACACAACCGACUGUAUUAAUGACGUAGUUUCAGUCAAAAUGCUGUUGUUGUGUUUCUCUGUCACUGAACCUGCUCUGCUGGAAAUAAAACUCCUGUGUAAAUCUCAGCAUCCUGUUUAUUUAAAUUAUUGUAUUAUAUGUAUACUGAUUACCUCACUGUCUUGUUUUGACUUUGUUUUGUUUUGUUUUUUAAUAUAUAAUAUUCAG
Long non-coding RNA from Epinephelus fuscoguttatus (brown-marbled grouper), 849 nucleotides. RefSeq lists it as uncharacterized. The record is from RefSeq and is a predicted model, not a curated record. The transcript is spliced from 5 exons. NCBI's taxonomy places the organism in Eukaryota, Metazoa, Chordata, Actinopteri, Perciformes, Serranidae.